UUAACUUACACCUCCAACGCCAGGGAAUUACGAGCAAUGCUUAAAACCCAAAGGAUUUGACGGUGUCCCACCCCACUAGAGGAGCCUGUUCUAUAAUCGAUAAUCCCCGCUUCACCCGACCGUUCCUCGCCUAUCAGUCUGUAUACCUCCGUCGAAAGCUUACCAUGUGAACGCCAGCAGUAAGCUUAAUGAUAUUACCAUCAACACGUCAGGUCAAGGUGCAGCUUAAGGAACGGGAAGCAAUGGGCUACAAUUUCUAAUCUAGAACAAACGAAAGAUUAUGUGAAAUCCUAAUCAUGAAGGUGGAUUUAGUAGUAAAAAGGAAAUAGAGUGUUCUUUUUAACUCGGCUCUGGGACGCGUACACACCGCCCGUCACCCUCUUCAAUAGUAUUUUCCUGUCCCUAACCCCCUUACACAUUUUAGAAGAGGCAAGUCGUAACAUGGUAAGUGUACUGGAAAGUGCACUUGGAAUAUUA
RNAcentral lists this ribosomal RNA (477 nucleotides) under Rana aurora (red-legged frog). Its description in RNAcentral is "partial 12S ribosomal RNA". It matches the Rfam family "Bacterial small subunit ribosomal RNA", at positions 853 to 1533 of the family's 1533-position model. The record is from RNAcentral. Lineage: Eukaryota; Metazoa; Chordata; Amphibia; Anura; Ranidae.